Molecule: ribosomal RNA, 590 nt
Filed under: Natrix natrix (European grass snake)
Lineage: Eukaryota; Metazoa; Chordata; Lepidosauria; Squamata; Natricidae
Description: partial 12S ribosomal RNA
Source: RNAcentral
AUAAUAGCACCGGCGUUAAGCACGACUAGAAAACAGUUAAACACAUUGGGAUAAAAUUAAACUAGGCUGUAAAAAGCCAUAAGCCAUUCUAACCUCGCCCCCAAUACUCAAACCCCUUCAACUCGUGAAAAUAGGAAUACAAACUAAGAUUAGAUACCUUACUAUGCCUAACCUAACACACAAUAAACUACCAAUUGUUCGCCAAACAACUACGAGUAAAAACUUAAAACUUAAAAGACUUGACGGUACUUCACACCACCCUAGAGGAGCCUGUCUAAUAACCGAUACCCCGCGAUUAACCCUACCCCCUCUAGCCCAGCAGUCUAUAUACCGCCAUCGCCAGCUUACCUUGUGAAAGAAACAGAGUAAACACAACAGCCACCACUAACACGAUAGGUCGAGGUGUAACUUAUGAGGGGGAAUAAGAUGGGCUACAUUUUCUAACACAGAAAAUACGAAUGGACUACGAAAAUAGAAACCGAAGGCGGAUUUAGCAGUACAUUAAGGACAAAAUGCUUAAUUGAAACAAAUGCAAUGAAGUGCGUACACACCGCCCGUCAUCCCUGUAAAAACCACUAAUUAUUCAUAAU